GACGAGCGCUGGCGGCGUGCUUAACACAUGCAAGUCGAACGGAAAGGCCCUGCUUGCAGGGUACUCGAGUGGCGAACGGGUGAGUAACACGUGGGUGAUCUGCCCUGCACUUCGGGAUAAGCCUGGGAAACUGGGUCUAAUACCGGAUAGGAGCCAUUUUUAGUGUGAUGGUUGGAAAGUUUUUUCGGUGUAGGAUGAGCUCGCGGCCUAUCAGCUUGUUGGUGGGGUAAUGGCCUACCAAGGCGGCGACGGGUAGCCGGCCUGAGAGGGUGGACGGCCACAUUGGGACUGAGAUACGGCCCAGACUCCUACGGGAGGCAGCAGUGGGGAAUAUUGCACAAUGGGCGCCAGCCUGAUGCAGCGACGCCGCGUGGGGGAUGACGGCCUUCGGGUUGUAAACUCCUUUCGCUAGGGACGAAGCUUUUUGUGACGGUACCUAGAUAAGAAGCACCGGCUAACUACGUG
RNAcentral lists this ribosomal RNA (465 nucleotides) under uncultured bacterium. RNAcentral's name for it is "partial 16S ribosomal RNA". It matches the Rfam family "Bacterial small subunit ribosomal RNA", at positions 28 to 507 of the family's 1533-position model. The record is from RNAcentral.